Molecule: ribosomal RNA, 465 nt
Filed under: Mycolicibacterium holsaticum
Lineage: Bacteria; Bacillati; Actinomycetota; Actinomycetes; Mycobacteriales; Mycobacteriaceae
Description: bacterial SSU rRNA
Rfam family: Bacterial small subunit ribosomal RNA
Source: RNAcentral
GAACGGGUGAGUAACACGUGGGUGAUCUGCCCUGCACUUUGGGAUAAGCCUGGGAAACUGGGUCUAAUACCGGAUAGGACUCCGAGAUUCAUGUCUUGGGGUGGAAAGCUUUUGCGGUGUGGGAUGGGCCCGCGGCCUAUCAGCUUGUUGGUGGGGUGAUGGCCUACCAAGGCGACGACGGGUAGCCGGCCUGAGAGGGUGUCCGGCCACACUGGGACUGAGAUACGGCCCAGACUCCUACGGGAGGCAGCAGUGGGGAAUAUUGCACAAUGGGCGCAAGCUGAUGCAGCGACGCCGCGUGAGGGAUGACGGCCUUCGGGUUGUAAACCUCUUUCAGUACCGACGAAGCGGAAGUGACGGUAGGUACAGAAGAAGCACCGGCCAACUACGUGCCAGCAGCCGCGGUAAUACGUAGGGUGCGAGCGUUGUCCGGAAUUACUGGGCGUAAAGAGCUCGUAGGUGGUU